GUGGCCAUAGCACUUCUGAAACAGCGGUUCUCGUCUGGUUAGGGAGGUUAAGCAACUUUGAACGUGGUUAAUUCUUGAGUGGCUGACAAACUCGGAAUACUGUUCACGUU
RNAcentral lists this ribosomal RNA (110 nucleotides) under Fasciola hepatica (liver fluke). Lineage: Eukaryota; Metazoa; Platyhelminthes; Trematoda; Plagiorchiida; Fasciolidae. The record is from RNAcentral.